This 2216-nucleotide long non-coding RNA is filed under the name Sus scrofa (pig). RNAcentral describes it as "lncRNA (ENSSSCG00045024720.1)". The stretch from base 423 to 487 matches the Rfam family "mir-155 microRNA precursor family". The record is from RNAcentral. Lineage: Eukaryota; Metazoa; Chordata; Mammalia; Artiodactyla; Suidae.
AUGACCCACGAGAAAGGGAAAGGGGAAAACACCAAUCCUGCGCUGGGCUUUUUCGACUUUUCCUUUAAAAAGAAAAAAGUUUUUCAAGCUGUAGGUUCCAAGAACCGGCAGGAGGGGGGCGAGGCGGGGUGGGGGGGUGUACAGAAAAGGCGCCUGGUCGGUUAUGAGUCACAAGUGGGUUAUAAAAGGGUCGCACGUUCGCAGGCGCGGGCUUCCUGUGCGCGGCUGAGCCGGGGCGCAGCGCGACGGUCCCAUCGGGCGGCCUCCACCCUCGGGACGCGAGCGGAGCGCCGAGCCCAGCGGCGAUCACGCGACGCGGGGAAGGAAGGAAGGUGGUGCAAACCAGGAAGGGGAAAUCUGUGGUUUACGUUCUCUGUGCCUCAUCCCUCUCGGAGAGCUGGAGGCUUGCUGGAGGCUAUAUGCUGUUAAUGCUAAUUGUGAUAGGGGUUUUUACCUCCGUCUGACUCCUACAUGUUAGCAUUAACAGGGUAUGAUGCCUGUUACUAGCAUUCACAUGGAACAAACUGCUGCUGUGGGAGGAUGACAAAGAAGUGUGAGUCACCCUGCUGGAUAAACUCAGACUUUAAGCUUUAUUAUUUUUUGUUAAUCAUAAUCUGGUCACUGGGAUGUUCCACCUGAUAGUAAGUCUUUAAGAAUAAGGUCUUGUAAAAGAUUUAUCAACGGUAUCCUGAAAGCAAACUUUUUUACUUUAAUCCUUAAGCCCACAUUUUUUUUAAAAAAAUCUUUAAUGGAAAAUGUAUUCCUGUCCUUUUUAAUUCACAGUUAUGGUUUGUUCAUUAUAACUGUUUAUAAACACUUUGAAUAAUUUAACUAGAAAGAAAUAUAAACACAUUCUGAGUAUCUUUGCAGUUAAAAAUUAGGACUACUAUCCACUAAUUAAUCAUGGAUUGUUGGGAAAUAUGUUCAAAAAGAUUUAGAAAUUGGUAUUUCCCCCAUGUAACAAUUCUAUUUAGACAACUUCAGUUUCAAAUGGAUACUUUUAUAUGAAUCUUAAAGUAGACUUGAAAGGCUAUGGCAAUUAGUUUUUAAAAAAUGAAAGAUUUCAUUCUUUUUUAUGGCUGAGUAGUAUUCCAUUGCAUAUAUAUACCACAUAUCCUUAAUCCACCCAUUCGUCUGUCGCUGGACAUUUAGGCUGUUUCCAUUUGCAGCAACAUGGAUGCAAAUAGAGAUUCUCAUACUAAAUGAAGUUAAGUCAGAAAGAUAAAGACAAAUUCCAUAUGAUAUCAGUUAUAUGUGGACUCAAAAAUAUGGCACAAAUGAACCUAUCUACAAAACAGAAACAGACCCACAGACAUAGAGAAUAGACUUGUGGUUGCCAAGGGGGAGGGAAGAGGGAGUGGGAUGGAUGGGCAGUUUGGGGUUAGUAGAUACAGACUAUUACAUUUAGAUUAGAUGGGCAAUGAGGUCCUACUAUUCAGCACGGGGAACUAUAUCCAGUCUCUUGGGAUAGACCAUGAUGGAAGAUAAUAUAAGACAAGGAAUGAAUAUAUACAUAUGACUGGGUCACCUUGCUGCAAUAGCAGAACUUGCCACAACGUUGUACAUCAACUAUACGUUAAUAAAAAAAUCAAAAAGAUUUUUUAAACUUAGUACAGUUAAUGACAUGUGAGAACCAAUCCAUCUUUUCCCUACAAGAUAACAAAGAUUUGAUCAAAAAAAAUCUCUUAUUUGAAAUUAAGUCCCAAAACUAUGUUCAAAUUCAAUAGCUUAGCCGUUAGGUCAGAAAAUCCACCUCUCCUCUUCUCAGCUUGUUUAUUGUCCCACAGAAUGGGCUAAUACUUAACAGAGUUGGUAUGAGGCUUACGUGAGAUGGAGAACUAUUUUGUAAAAUAUGAAGUAUCAAUGUUAAUAUAUUAAUAAUAUAUUAACGUUAUAGUCAAAUUAAUCCCCCCUCUUUGUUAGAGAAAAACUAAUGAUUUGAUCCACAGAAUUUUUCAGGUCUGGAUUUCUAUGCCAUUUUUCUCCAGAGUUAUAGAACUGUACCACUUACAAAUACAUAGCUAAUUGUAAUCAGCAUCUUUAAUGUGUGUUUGUGUUAGCAACUCUUCUCAAUGUUUUGUCAAACAAGUUAUGUGCACUGAAACCAAAUAAAUCACUUGAGUGGUUGAUUUAAAAUAAUUUUUUGUUAUGGCCUUUUUUCUUUUGCAUCAUACAAAUUAUAAUUUCAGAAGUUAUUUACACACACACACACACAC